GCGGCGCUCGCGAAACCCGAAGACUUGCAGGGUAAGAACUGAAGCCACCAAAAGGCUUACUAUACCACACAACACCCAAGCCUUCCUUUGGGGCAUGGGGACAGUGGAUCUAUGGCUCCUCAGGGUGCCAACCAAUUGAAGAAGGAAGCCAGCUCCACUCAACAGCUUCUACAAAGGAAGGGCCACAGGAGAGGGGCUUCAGUGGUUCCAGGCAGCUGCUUCAUUCACAACAGAAUGGCCAUUUUCUCCAGCAUGGCCAACUAUCCCUAGUCUUUUUGUCAUGACAGCCUAGAAGGCAGAAGCUAGGGCCAAGGCGGCUGCUAAGGAAUUCCUACUCCUACUGGGGCCUAAUGUCAGGCUUUCCUUAUAUUGUGGAGUGGGCCCUGGAAGAUAGUUAGAGACCCUUCCUGCUGGGCACCCUGAAGAGGAGCAAGAGGAUCUGGUGAGCAAAAUGAAGCAAAAGUGCAGUGCUGGAGCUGACAGCCCUGUUCCCUACUGCACGCAGUUGGCUCAGGGCUGUCCCCCACUUUGGAGCUUCUUGCCACUCACGGGCUACCCUGCACACACUACUUACUGCCCAGGCCUGUCUGCCACCACAGUACCCUGUGCCUGAGACCUUUCCUGGCCUCUGCUGGAUCCCAGGCCUAGUAUCAUUCCUAGGGACUCCAGAGGCAAGUCCAGGCUAAUAUGCUCUGGGAAAACAAUGUACAAUGUACAUGUUUGCCUUUUGACGUAGAUAAAUGAUACCUGGAUCCCAGGUCUGGCUCUGGGGCAGGGGAGCUUCAGGCCUGGCUAUGGCAGAACACUGAAGGAGGUACUUUGGGUUUUCACAACCUCUUAAAUCAUCUCAGAGAGAGAGUGAACAACUUACUUUCACAUGCACAAGCUGCCGCUGGCUCUGUCACAAGAAGAUGGACUACAAGUAAUAAAAUCAAGAUGAAGUUCUGUGUACAUCUUUCCAGCUUACAAGAAUUGUAGAAAGUUGAAGAUGAAAGGGAUAUUAAAGAGCAUCUCAUUCUACCUCCUCAUUUUGCAGCUGUAAGAACCGAGGCCCAGGGAGGGGGACUGGGGAAGCCACCAUCACACAGCUGCUCCGUGGCAGGAGUUGUGCUAACUUUCUGUGGCUGUUGCCAUUACACCCAGCAUCUUUUGACUUUUGAAAACAGCGAAGGAGAAAUCAGUCCUCCCAGCAUCUUCACCUCCCACGACGUUUAUUGUUUCCAGCUGUUAAAAAUUGGCCCUUUAAAAAUGGGUCGUCUUGCCAGUCAUUGAGGGUCACCGCGGUGGGGAGUGCUGAUUUAGAGGGCGGCAGAACAGGGAGGUGAUUGGAGGCAUAAUUGCCAGUCUCCUCCUUGGCACCUGGGGAUUUCUGUCAUUCAAGUCUCAGGGUGUGUGCCCUCAGCAAAUACUAACCCACAGAGUCAAUUGCUAACUGCAGUCAUCUGUGCAUUUGCCCUCUGGGGAUGGAAAGCCAUAAGAAAUGCCAUUUCCUAAUCUAGUUGGCCUUGGAUGAGAAGAUGUUUUUGCCUAAUGGAAGCCUUUGGAGAGUGAAUAAUGUGAAUAAUGUGUAUUUAGGACCUACAGUGCUCCCCAGGAUGCUGUAAGGGACCUGGUUAUAAAGAAAAAAACCUCACUGAUGGUCUUGGCUUUGUCCUUGUCUGAGUUAAGUCCUUUUGGUUGGAAGUAAUCAACUUGAGCUGACGUAAGCAUUAAGGGACAUAGAAGAGUAUAGCAGUAUCUCAUGAAGUCCAAGGGCAGAUGGCCUCAAGGUAGCCCGAGAAGCUGCUAGGAACCUAGACAGUCCACCUUCUCCAGCUUUCUUCUCUGCUUCGUGUCUCCCUCUGCAAUCCACUUUCUUCUCUGUGAGUAGCUGGGCAGAGGAUAAUCCCUCAACAACUAUCACAUCUACAUCUUCUCUCCUAAAGAGAUUAGCCAAAGGUGAGUGGCUGUCCUCAGUCCAAUACCAGAUUCCUGGGAGAGGGAAUUUGGUUGUCCCAGCCUGGGUCAGGUGCACAGCUUGAUCCAAUCAGGUGUGCCCAGGAGAGGGUGCCCUGAGACAGGCACAUCUGGGGACACUCAUCCUCAUGAAUGACCGGACAGUUCUCCAGGAAAGAAGAGAGAAGAGUGGAGGUCAGACAUUUCAAAUGUAUAUUAUAGGCAUCAAAUUAGUUACUGAUACAGAAAAAUGGCAAUGUCUAAGUAGGGGGCUUGAGAAACAGUUCAAACACUGUAUAGAUUUUGAUUAUUUGCUUAACUUCCAGGAUGAUAAAUUGUCUAUUAUGGAGCUGUAUUUUUUUUUUGGAGACAGAGUCUUGCUGUUUGGCUGGAGUGCAGUGGCGUGAUCUCGGCUCACCACAACCUCCACCUCCAGGUUCAAGCAAUUCUCCUGCCUCAGCCUCCCGAGUAGCUGGGAUUACAGGUGCCCACCACCAGCCCUGGCUAAUUUUUGUAUUUUUAGUAGAAACGGGGUUUCACCAUGUUGGCCAGGCUGGUCUAGAACUCCUGACCUCAAGUGAUCCGCCCUUCUCGGCCUCCCAAAGUGCCAGGAUUACAGGCGUGAGCCACCAUGCCCAGGUGGAGCUGAAUUUUUUUUUUUUUUUUUGAGGUGGGAGGAUGGAGUCUCGCUUUUUCGCCCAGGCUGGAGUGCAAUGGCACGAUCUUGGCUCACUGCAACCUCCGCCUCCCAGGUCCAAGCAAUUCUUCUGCCUCAGCCUCCCCAGUAGCUGGGAUUACAGGCAUGUGCCACCACACCCGGGUAAUUUUUGUAUUUUUAGUAGAGACAAGGUUUCACCAUGUUGGCCAGGCUGGUCUCGAACUCCUGACCUCAAGUGAUCCACCCAUCGCAGCCUCCCAAAGUGCUAGGAUUACAGGCAUGAGCCACCGCGCCCAGCCAAUCUUUUUAUAUAGUAGAUUUCUUGCAAUGUAACCCCUAUCCUCUGGGCUUUGUGUAAAAAGUGCAUUCAGACAAUCUGAGGAGUGUCUUAAUUUUUUGUGUGACUAUCAUAUAUAUUUUCAUCCUGUUGAGGUGUGUUUGCUAGGUGGAUAUUGAACAUGAAAUCAAAGUAUAAUUUUAAACUUGUGUUGAAAUAUAUGUGUAUAAGCAUAUGUGCACAAUUACCUAUAUUGUCAAACACCCAACCUGCUUUCCAAAGGAUUUGAAGCAAGGUCUAAUAAAAACACAGAAAAAGUAUGGCCAAGAGCUGUAAACACCAAAAAAAGAAGUAAAGGGCAAGUCGCAAACAGACUGCAGUUGAGCAAAGCUGCAAAGGACUAUAAUACCAGGCCUGAAGUGGUUGCUAAAUGUAGCUCUGAGCUUUCUGACAUUCAAAGCCAAAAAUAGGUAUAUUUUAUUAUUUAAACAGUGUCUACUCUGAGGUCCUCAAAACUCUUUCAGGGGGCCCACAGAUCAAAACUAUUUUCAUAAUAACACCAAGACAUUGUUUGCAUCUUUCAUUGUCAUUCUCUUAGGAGUGUACAGUGGAGUUUUCCAGAAGGCAUAUGCCAUGUGCAUCACCACAGCUUAAAUGCAGAAACAGACAUGAGGAUCUAGCUGUGUCCUACUAAGCCAGACAUUCAGGACAUCUAAAAGUGUAAAACAAUGCCACUCUUCUCACUAACUUUUUUGUUUUGGAAAAUAUAUCUUUCAUAAAAUAUUGAUUAUGUUGAUAUAUUACGGGUUUGUUGUUAUUAUUUUAAAUGAAUUAAUAAAUAAUUUUCUGAUUUAAUUUCUAUUACUGUAAAUAUUGAUGGAUAUAUCCUGUAUAAGCAAAAACUCUCUGGGGUUCUCAACUAUUUUUAAGAGUGUAAAGGGGUCAUUAGAGAACUGCUCAAGAAUGUUAGUAUUAUUUAAAGAGCUUCUGCACAGAAAAACUAUCAACAGAGUAAACAAACAAACUACAGAAUGGGAGAAAAUCUUCACAAGCUGUGCAUCUGACAGGGGCUAACAUCCAGACUCUAUAGGGAACUUAAACAUUUCAAUGAGUAAACAAUAAUUAACCCCAUUAAAAAGUGGGCAAAGGACAUGAACAGACACUUCUCAAAAGAAGACAUACAAGCAGCCAACAGACAUGAAAAAAUGUUCCACAUCACUACUCAGAGAAAUGCAAAUUUAAACCACAGGGAGAUACCAUCUCACUCUAGUCAGAAUGGCUAUUAUUAAAAAGUCAAAAAAAUAAUAACAGAUGCUGUUGAGGCUGUAGAGAAAAUGUAAUGCUUAUACAUUGUUGAUGGGAACAUAAAUUAGUCCAGCCACUGUGGAAAGCAGUUUGGAGAUGCCUCAGAGAACUUAGAACUACCAUUUGACCCAGCAGUCCCAUUACUUGGUACAUACCCAAAAGAAAACAAAUGUUUCCACCAAAAAGACGCGUGUGCUCAUAUGUUCACUGCAGCACUAUUCACAAUAGCAAAGACAUGGAAUCAAUCUAGGGGUCCAUCAGUGGUGGGUUAGAUAAAGACCAUGUGGUACACAUACACCAUGAAAUACUGCCCAGCCAUAAAAAAGAACGAAAUCAUGUCCUUUGCAGCAACAUGGAUGCAGCUGGAAGCUGUUAGCCCAAGUGAAUUAAUGCAGGAACAGAAAACCAAAUCCUGCAUUUUCUCACUUAUAAGUGUGAGCUAAACAUUGAGUACACGUGGACGUAAAGAUGGAAACAGCAGACACUGGAGACUACCAGAGGAAGAAGAAAGGGAGGGAGGAGAAAGGGAGGGAGGAAAAAGGGAGGGAGUCAAGGGCUGAAAAACUACCUAUUAGGUACUAUGCUCAGAACCUCAGUGAUGGGAUUAAUUGAACCUCAAACCUCAGUGUCACACAAUAUACUCAUGUAACAAGCCUGCAUAUGUGCCCUCUGAAUCUAAAAUAAAAGUUGAAAUUAUUUUUUAAAAAAAGAAUAUUACUAUUAUUUAAUCA
RNAcentral lists this long non-coding RNA (4906 nucleotides) under Homo sapiens (human). RNAcentral describes it as "non-protein coding LINC01058:3". Lineage: Eukaryota; Metazoa; Chordata; Mammalia; Primates; Hominidae. The record is from RNAcentral.